This 247-nucleotide ribosomal RNA is filed under the name uncultured bacterium. RNAcentral's name for it is "partial 16S ribosomal RNA". It matches the Rfam family "Bacterial small subunit ribosomal RNA", at positions 523 to 769 of the family's 1533-position model. The record is from RNAcentral.
AUACGUAGGGUGCAAGCGUUAAUCGGAAUUACUGGGCGUAAAGCGUGCGCAGGCGGUUCGGAAAGAAAGGUGUGAAAUCCCAGGGCUUAACCUUGGAACUGCACUUUUAACUAACGAACUAGAGUAUGUCAGAGGGGGGUAGAAUUCCACGUGUAGCAGUGAAAUGCGUAGAGAUGUGGAGGAAUACCGAUGGCGAAGGCAGCCCCCUGGGAUAAUACUGACGCUCAUGCACGAAAGCGUGGGGAGC